GCCGUGCAUGGUGGCUCAUGCCUGUAAUCCCAGCAAUUCAGGAAGCUGAGGCAGGAGGAUUGCAAGUUCAAAGCCAGACUGAGCAUUUAGUGAGAUCCUGUCUCAA
RNAcentral lists this small RNA (106 nucleotides) under Marmota monax (woodchuck). Lineage: Eukaryota; Metazoa; Chordata; Mammalia; Rodentia; Sciuridae. The record is from RNAcentral.